UUGCAGCUUUUGGCCUACCGAAACCUUCCGAACGUUUUUUCAAUCGGAACAUCUGUCUACCUCUCUGCGCAUGCGCAAAGUUUACCUGCUUCCUUUGUAACAUAAACAAAAAGAUAUUUUUCUCUCCAGCACGAAUAUCAGCGGAAAAAAAGACUAUUGUCAACUACUGUGUGAAUCUACCAAUAUGUCCAACAAAGUCUCUGGUAUAAGUGCAGACACCUUAGAUUUCAUCAACAAUCAAGAAGCAUAUCAUCAUCACAAUGUGUAAAUGGGAUAAUAAACCACACAGGUGAAAAAGGACAUUGUCCCAAUUGUUUUUCUUUGCCUAAAGUGUAUUGAAGAGAACAUGAGUGGUGUGUUGUUCUGACUGUCUUCAGUUGCUGCAUCUGCAAAUAUGACUCUAGAUUCAGAGAAAAUAAAGCUUUAUUUUGGAAUGGCAUCUGAUAUAACCUGUGUUAAUUUUUAAAAUGAAAGUAAUAAAAGUACUGUAAAAAAUCA
This is a long non-coding RNA of Saccostrea cuccullata (small rock oyster), 498 nucleotides long. RefSeq lists it as uncharacterized. The record is from RefSeq and is a predicted model, not a curated record. Lineage: Eukaryota; Metazoa; Mollusca; Bivalvia; Ostreida; Ostreidae. The transcript is spliced from 2 exons.